UAAAAAUUUAAAUUAUAAAUACUAAAAUAGUAAAUAAUUAUUUAUUAAAACUUAAAUAUUUUGGCGGUAUUUUAGUUUAUUUAGAGGAAUCUGUUUAUUAAUUGAUAAUCCACGAAUAAAUUUACUUAAUUUAUUAUUUUGUAUAUCAUUGUUAAAUAAAUAUUUUUUAAUAAUUAAUAAUAUUUUAAAAUUAUGAAUAAAAAUUAAAUCAAAUCAAGAUGCAGAUUAUAAUUAAGAAUAUAAUGGAUUACAAUAAUUUUAUUUAAAUGAAUUUUAAUUUGUAAUAAUUAAAUGAAGGUGGAUUUAAAUGUAAUUUUAUUUAUUUUAAUAAUUUGAUUAAAAAUUAAAAUAUGUAC
RNAcentral lists this ribosomal RNA (356 nucleotides) under Dyscia innocentaria. Its description in RNAcentral is "partial 12S ribosomal RNA". The record is from RNAcentral. Lineage: Eukaryota; Metazoa; Arthropoda; Insecta; Lepidoptera; Geometridae.